GUUCCUGGUAGGGCAGAGGAAGCCAGCAGGGGCCGAGAGAACUUCAAAUUCAAGGCUUCAAAUUCCAGGAGGACCAAGCUCAGAGGGUCAGAGCAGAUCCGGGUGCUGGUGACCUGGCAGAUGGAGGUCCUGGGGGCGACAGGAGGCUGAGCUAUCAUCCACGCUAUGAUCAUACGUGAGUUACUUCUUACCUCCAGGCUGGACGUUUAUACAGUUUCAUCAGGAAUCUCAAGUGAUUCUUACCACCGAAGAAGUUUUGGAAACACAUUUCAAUGAGACUGCUUCUCGGAGAGGUUCCCCAAAGAAAAAG
RNAcentral lists this long non-coding RNA (310 nucleotides) under Canis lupus familiaris (dog). Its description in RNAcentral is "lncRNA (ENSCAFG00845000781.1)". The record is from RNAcentral. Lineage: Eukaryota; Metazoa; Chordata; Mammalia; Carnivora; Canidae.